This 501-nucleotide ribosomal RNA is filed under the name uncultured bacterium. Its description in RNAcentral is "partial 16S ribosomal RNA". It matches the Rfam family "Bacterial small subunit ribosomal RNA", at positions 29 to 523 of the family's 1533-position model. The record is from RNAcentral.
AUUGAACGCUGGCGGCAUGCCUUACACAUGCAAGUCGAACGGCAGCACGGGUGCUUGCACCUGGUGGCGAGUGGCGAACGGGUGAGUAAUACAUCGGAACGUACCUUAUCGUGGGGGAUAACGCAGCGAAAGCUGUGCUAAUACCGCAUACGCUCUGAGGGGGAACGCGGGGGAUCGCAAGACCUCCCGCGAUGAGAGCGGCCGAUGCCUGAUUAGCUAGUUGGUGGGGUAAAAGCCCACCAAGGCGACGAUCAGUAGCUGGUCUGAGAGGACGAUCAGCCACACUGGGACUGAGACACGGCCCAGACUCCUACGGGAGGCAGCAGUGGGGAAUUUUGGACAAUGGGGGCAACCCUGAUCCAGCAAUGCCGCGUGAGUGAAGAAGGCCUUCGGGUUGUAAAGCUCUUUUGUCAGGGAAGAAACACCGGCUCUAACACAGUCCGGGAAUGACGGUACCUGAAGAAUAAGCACCGGCUAACUACGUGCCAGCCGCCGCCGUAA